RNAcentral lists this antisense RNA (75 nucleotides) under Streptomyces sp. WM6372. Its description in RNAcentral is "ASpks sRNA". It matches the Rfam family "ASpks TB sRNA". The record is from RNAcentral. Lineage: Bacteria; Bacillati; Actinomycetota; Actinomycetes; Kitasatosporales; Streptomycetaceae.
CUUGGCGGAGCCGAGCCACACCGGCCGGUCCUCGGGGCGGCCCUUGCCGUACGUGGCGAUCAGGGCCUGCGCCUC